AAGCUUACACAUCAAAUCAAAGUCCUUUAUUCUUUAUUUUAUCUUCAAACUUAGAGUUUGGGUGAAAAUUGUCAAGUCUCCUGAUCGAAAAAUCUAAAUAUUUACGAGGAAACUAAAAAUGAUGGGCUGAAUUUAAAUUUAAUAAAGCAUCUCAUUAAGACAAACACUCGAUAUGAAUAUCUCGGCAAUAGAAUGUUGGAUACGCAAACGUCAAGUUAUUUUCAAAACGAAGCGGUGGUUUUUAUGCCGAUUUGUGCAAGUGGUUAUCUCCCCUUAAUAUCACCAGUCAAAAAUAAAAACCCAGC
This 305-nucleotide long non-coding RNA is filed under the name Mytilus galloprovincialis (Mediterranean mussel). Lineage: Eukaryota; Metazoa; Mollusca; Bivalvia; Mytilida; Mytilidae. The record is from RNAcentral.